This 407-nucleotide ribosomal RNA is filed under the name uncultured bacterium. Its description in RNAcentral is "partial 16S ribosomal RNA". It matches the Rfam family "Bacterial small subunit ribosomal RNA", at positions 28 to 526 of the family's 1533-position model. The record is from RNAcentral.
GACGAACGCUGGCGGCGUGCCUAAUACAUGCAAGUAGGACGCAGUUGCGAACGGGUGAGUAACGCGUAGGUAACUACCUAUUAGAGGGGGAUAACUAUUGGAAACGAUAGCUAAUACCGCAUACUAGUAGAUGGACCUGCGUUGUAUUAGGUAGUAGGUAGGGUAAUGGCCUAUCUAGGCAAGGAUACAUAGCCGACCUGAGCGGGUGAUCGGCCACAAUGGGACUGAGACACGGCCCAGACGCCUUCGGGAGGCAGCAGUAGGGAAUCUUCGGACAUGGGGGGAACCCUUACCGAGCAACGCCGCGGGAGUGAAGAAGGUUUUCGGGUCGUAAAGCUUUGUUGUUAAGGAAGCGGUACUUAACCAGAAAGGGACGGCUAACUACGUGCCAGCAGCCGCGGUAAUUC